CACGUAGGGCGCAAGCGUUGUCCGGAAUUAUUGGGCGUAAAGAGCUCGUAGGCGGUCCGUCACGUCCGCUGUGAAAACCCAGGGCUCAACCCUGGGCUUGCAGUGGAUACGGGCAGACUAGAGGUAGGUAGGGGAGAAUGGAAUUCCCGGUGUAGCGGUGAAAUGCGCAGAUAUCGGGAGGAACACCGGUGGCGAAGGCGGUUCUCUGGGCCUUACCUGACGCUGAGGAGCGAAAGCGUGGGGAGCAAACAGG
RNAcentral lists this ribosomal RNA (253 nucleotides) under uncultured bacterium. RNAcentral's name for it is "partial 16S ribosomal RNA". It matches the Rfam family "Bacterial small subunit ribosomal RNA", at positions 524 to 776 of the family's 1533-position model. The record is from RNAcentral.